UUUGGCCUGUUUGAUUGUUCGGCGCACGUUUCAUGUAUUCCUGUGACGCCCCGACUUUUCCUAUUUCUUUUAAGUUAGUUUUUGGAUGACAGUCAAACUUUUAGUUGAAUAUCUUUUAUUUAUUUUGAAGAGUUUAUGGUGUAUUUUUUUAAGCACCCAGCCCAAUUUUUCUUUUUUUUCUGUGAAACUACUUUUGGAGAACCCAAUAUUAGACCAACCGUGGAUACGUACAAAUCUGCUCAAAUCUUCCAUUCUAAUGUUUCCCCUGAGAAUUAGGAGACAUUCAGUAACAACUUAACCAUAUAUAAAUAUAACGAACCCCACACGUCUCCCACCUUUCUGAAACCUUGAAAAAAAUAUAGCGAAAGAACUGAGUCAGUGUAAGAGAGAGCCGAGAGUCCUUCAAAUUGUUUUCCUGCAACUCUUUGCAACAAAGUGUCUGCCCAAAAAAUGUUUGAAUCAAACAUAUUAGAAAAACUUAAUAGAAGAUUUAGAUUGGGGGAAAUGGAAAGAGAGAUCUCACCUGUCGUGAACGGAGAUUGGCCGCGGCGAAGGAGGCCGAGCGUGACAGGGGCAGCGGCGGCGAGGUCCAGUCGCACGCCGGCUAGCUGGGACGGCUGGAGCAGCGGAAACGGUGCGAAGGAGAGUCAGCGGCAGCGGUUGGUCUUCGACAGAGGGGCGUGAGACGGCUCCAAAUUCGUGAAAUGAGGGAGAUGGGUGUCGUUUUGUGUUGUUUCUGUUUGUGAGGGGUGGAAGAAUGGUGGAGAGUGAGAGAGCGUAAGUUUUAGAGAGUCAAAGAGUGUGAAGAUUUGAGAAAAAUGGCGAGGGAGAGAGACGGACUUUGCUAUAUUCCCAAUUUGGGAUAGUUGAGAGAGAGAUACAGUGGUGGCGGCUGGGAGUAUAUUUUAGUUCUCUUACAAGUUUUGGGCUUUAACUAGUUUUGGGCCUUUAGUUAAAUAAAUACGUGUAUGGCAGGGAGUAUAGCUUUAGCCUUUUUAAUUGCUUGGCCUUCUUUUUCUUUUGUUAAGUUUCAUUUAUGUUUUAAGCCACUUAAAUUUCAUGAGUUGGGCCUCUUAGAUUAAAUCAAUGGUUUGGAGGGUCCUGUUUAA
This is a long non-coding RNA of Salvia splendens (bonfire salvia), 1109 nucleotides long. RefSeq lists it as uncharacterized. The transcript has 2 exons. Lineage: Eukaryota; Viridiplantae; Streptophyta; Magnoliopsida; Lamiales; Lamiaceae. The record is from RefSeq and is a predicted model, not a curated record.